CACCUGCCCUGCAGCAGCCCACUCCCAGACAUCUGCGAACUGUGGUCAUCCAUCCCAGGUUCAGAUUCCUGGGACUCAAGCUCUAGAGAUGCUGUUGGCCAUUCAGUCAUAGGUGUUCAAGUGGCUACAUUUUGAGAAACACUUACACAGACAAGAGUCCAGGUCAAGGUCAGAUUUUGUUCUUUCAAGGGCUCCAUGACCAGGAAGUUGUCUGAUCACCACGCGGGGAGGAGGAGUCUGAGCGAACCCAGUACAGGAUCCUGCAGUGUGGUAUUCCUCCAACUUUACAGUGAUCCCCGUCGUCUAGAGGGCAUGGGAAAACAACUGGCUGGACCUUGCUCCCAGAGUUUCAAGUUCAUCACGUGUCUUCCCCAUAAAACACUGCCCCUGGAACCUGUUGGUGAGGUGCUUUUAAUCACCUUGGGUUCAGCAUUACCUGAUUUGAACCCACGUACGCUCAAACUCGUUUG
This is a long non-coding RNA of Herpailurus yagouaroundi (jaguarundi), 470 nucleotides long. RefSeq lists it as uncharacterized. The transcript is spliced from 4 exons. The record is from RefSeq and is a predicted model, not a curated record. Lineage: Eukaryota; Metazoa; Chordata; Mammalia; Carnivora; Felidae.